RNAcentral lists this ribosomal RNA (497 nucleotides) under uncultured bacterium. RNAcentral's name for it is "partial 16S ribosomal RNA". It matches the Rfam family "Bacterial small subunit ribosomal RNA", at positions 28 to 507 of the family's 1533-position model. The record is from RNAcentral.
GAUGAACGCUGGCGGCGUGCCUAAUACAUGCAAGUCGAGCGAACAGACGAGGAGCUUGCUCCUCUGACGUUAGCGGCGGACGGGUGAGUAACACGUGGAUAACAUACCUAUAAGACUGGGAUAACUUCGGGAAACCAGAGCUAAUACCGGAUAAUAUAUUGAACCGCAUGGUUCAAUAGUGAAAGACGGUUUUGCUGUCACUUAUAGAUGGAUCCGCGCCGCAUUAGCUAGUUGGUAAGGUAACGGCUUACCAAGGCGACGAUGCGUAGCCGACCUGAGAGGGUGAUCGGCCACACUGGAACUGAGACACGGUCCAGACUCCUACGGGAGGCAGCAGUAGGGAAUCUUCCGCAAUGGGCGAAAGCCUGACGGAGCAACGCCGCGUGAGUGAUGAAGGUCUUCGGAUCGUAAAACUCUGUUAUUAGGGAAGAACAAAUGUGUAAGUAACUAUGCACGUCUUGACGGUACCUAAUCAGAAAGCCACGGCUAACUACGUG